This 230-nucleotide ribosomal RNA is filed under the name Clostridium intestinale URNW. RNAcentral describes it as "partial 23S ribosomal RNA". It matches the Rfam family "Bacterial large subunit ribosomal RNA", at positions 2696 to 2925 of the family's 2925-position model. Lineage: Bacteria; Bacillati; Bacillota; Clostridia; Eubacteriales; Clostridiaceae. The record is from RNAcentral.
GAUGGACUGACCUCUGGUGUACCAGUUGUUCCGCCAGGAGCAUAGCUGGGUAGCUAAGUCGGGAAGGGAUAAACGCUGAAGGCAUCUAAGCGUGAAGCCCACCUCAAGAUAAGAUUUCCCAUAGAGUAAUCUAGUAAGAUCCCUUGAAGAACACAAGGUUGAUAGGUGAGAGGUGUAAGUGUGGUAACAUAUUUAGCUGACUCAUACUAAUAGAUCGAGGGCUUGACCAA